This 445-nucleotide ribosomal RNA is filed under the name uncultured bacterium. RNAcentral's name for it is "partial 16S ribosomal RNA". It matches the Rfam family "Bacterial small subunit ribosomal RNA", at positions 354 to 796 of the family's 1533-position model. The record is from RNAcentral.
GUAGGGAAUAUUGGGCAAUGGAGGCAACUCUGACCCAGCCAUGCCGCGUGCAGGAUGACGGCCCUCUGGGUUGUAAACUGCUUUUAUACGGGAAGAAAAAAUACUACGUGUAGUAUACUGACGGUACCGUAAGAAUAAGGAUCGGCUAACUCCGUGCCAGCAGCCGCGGUAAUACGGAGGAUCCAAGCGUUGUCCGGAUUUAUUGGGUUUAAAGGGUGCGUAGGCGGAUUUUUAAGUAAGUGGUGAAAGCCUGCAGCUUAACUAUAGAAUUGCCAUUGAAACUGAAGAUCUUGAAUGUGGUUAAAGUAGGCGGAAUGUAUCAUGUAGCGGUGAAAUGCUUAGAUAUGAUACAGAACACCGAUAGCGAAGGCAGCUUGCUGAACCAUUAUUGACGCUGAGGCACGAAAGCGUGGGGAGCGAACAGGAUUAGAUACCCGGGUAGUCC